RNAcentral lists this transfer RNA (86 nucleotides) under Thermogladius calderae 1633. RNAcentral's name for it is "tRNA-Ser (CGA) (tRNA-Ser-CGA-1-1)". It matches the Rfam family "tRNA". Rfam says of the family: Transfer RNA (tRNA) molecules are approximately 80 nucleotides in length. Their secondary structure includes four short double-helical elements and three loops (D, anti-codon, and T loops). Further hydrogen bonds mediate the characteristic L-shaped molecular structure. tRNAs have two regions of fundamental functional importance: the anti-codon, which is responsible for specific mRNA codon recognition, and the 3' end, to which the tRNAs corresponding amino acid is attached (by aminoacyl-tRNA synthetases). tRNAs cope with the degeneracy of the genetic code in two manners: having more than one tRNA (with a specific anti-codon) for a particular amino acid; and 'wobble' base-pairing, i.e. permitting non-standard base-pairing at the 3rd anti-codon position. The record is from RNAcentral. RNAcentral also lists the same sequence under 2 other names. Lineage: Archaea; Thermoproteati; Thermoproteota; Thermoprotei; Desulfurococcales; Desulfurococcaceae.
GCCGGGGUGCCCGAGCGGCCUAAGGGGGUAGGCUCGAGACCUACUGCCCCAUACGGGGCACGCGGGUUCGAAUCCCGCCCCCGGCG